Molecule: long non-coding RNA, 417 nt
Filed under: Dromaius novaehollandiae (emu)
Lineage: Eukaryota; Metazoa; Chordata; Aves; Casuariiformes; Dromaiidae
Description: lncRNA (ENSDNVG00000010474.1)
Source: RNAcentral
UGUCAAUGUUCCUGGUGACUCCCAUGCUUAUUUUAGACACUAGAACAGUCAUCUGUUGUAGGAGAUAUACAGAACUUUGAAUUUCUCUUGGCAGGUAAGAGGUUACAACUUUCUCCUGCAGGACAUGAGAGUGAGGCCCUUCAACAGCCCUUUUUGGCAAGUGGAAAUGUUUUUGCUGGCCAGUACAAUAUGCUUCACAACAGAUGACAAAGGCAGUCCAUUGCUGCCCUCCUAAAUAGGUUAAGCUGUGGUCUUAAUUGCUGAUGGGCCACACUCACUUCUUUUUGCCUGGUACAACAUGACCUUGCUGGGACUGAGAUGCAAGUUUACCAUUGUCCUUCUUCCCUCUUUAAGAAGCGGGAGCUGCAGUCCGUGUCUCUCCCAGUGGCGUUUCUCUGAUGCUUCCCUAGAGCCCAG